CCGGCGGUGGUUAAAGCUGUUUUGAAAAUGGCGCCCAAUACAAAACAGGAUUGCCAUAGAAACGAGGUAGCCAUGGUGAAAUAGCACCACCAAGCGGCUAAGCAAAUAAACAAAAGACGCGAAGCUUAGGCUGUGUCUUAAAACCAGAACCACUAUCGUAUUUUUUAGAAGAAGAAAAAAAGAUACACUAUAUAGUCAAAAGUAUGUCAAGAGUAUCAAAAUUAUGUGGACGACUGGCCUUCAGUAAAGCAGUACAUAUCACAUAUUAUUACUAUACUAGCAUACUGCACCUGUUUAAGGUGUAGACUACACCUGUUUAAGUUACACCUGUGUAACUCAUUGUGACAUACUAAGUAUGGCUAAGUAGGGUAGUAUGCUGGCAUACCUAGAGGUGUAGUCUACCACAUACUAUUACUAGAGUAAUAUACUAGCAUAUUACAUCUGCUAGAGGUGUAGCUACAUUAACAAGAUGUACUAUUAGUAGGGUAGUAUCCUGGAGCACCUCUAGAGGUGUAACCUACUAUUACAUACUAUUAGUAAUGUACUAUACUAGCAUACUACACCCACUGAAGGUGUAACUCAGUGUGAUAUACUUUUAGUAAUGUAGUAUGAUGGCAUACCUAGAAGUGUAGUCUAUCACAUACUAUUAAUAUAGUACUAUACUAGCAUACUAUACCCGCUAGAGGUGUACAUAUUAUACAUACUAUGACAUACUAUUAGUAGGGUAGUAUCCUGGGGCACCUCUAGAGGUGUAACCUACUAUUACAUACUAUUACUUGAAUACUAUACCAGCAUACUACACAUACUAGGAGUGUAAAUUAAUAUGAAAUCCUAUUAGUAAGGUAGUAUCCUGGGGUACCUCUAGAGGUGUAGCCUACUAUCACAUAGCCUACUAAUAGAAAAGUACUAUACUAGCAGUUCACUGAAGCCAUAGUCUGGUAGUGUACACUAUAUUGACAUACUGUUAGUAGGGAAGUGCGUAUUGUACCUUUGAAGGUGUAGCCUACUAUCACACACUACUUAGUAGGCUAGUAUGCUUGCGUAAUUUCGGAGGUGCAGACUACAAUGACAUACUAUUUAGUAGUGUAGUAUAACAUGCUGACGAACCUGGUGUACACGACGGCACUAUGUACAAUGGACUACUUUUCGUGCAAGACUCCCGGUGCCACACCCUCCGGCACGUGCAGUCGUCGUGCAGGAGCUUGCACGCGCAGCCCAAAGCGAGGGGGAGGGGGAGAGGAGAAGGGGAAGAGGGAAACGGAGGAGGAGAAGGAGAAGGAGUGGAGGAGGGAGAUGAGCGCGCGCACUCAGCAUCAGCAACACACACACACACGCACAAAGAGGUCGGAGAGCUGGCGCGUGAAUGGGAGAUGACGGAGCGCUGCAGGACGCGUUCAAAACAGGACUGAUACACGCAUCCAUCAUACACACAGGGAGACCAGCCGUGCCACUGUGUAUGCUAUUGUGCCACAAGCAUGCCAACAACAGCAUGGACAGAGCGUCCAGACAUCAAGACUGUUCUCUAACUGCAUCCUUAUAGCUAAUAGGAAUCAGGUUUCAUAAUAUGUUCACAAUAUUGUGUACAUCUGCAUGGAUUAAUUGGGGUUUUUGACUAAGAAAUAUUUCAUUUUCUGCAUGAAACCCCAUGCAUUUUUUGCAAUGAUGUCAUGUUUGUACUGUAGGCCCACAAUAUGAACCCUAACAGGGUAUGACAUGUGUGUACAUACUGAAUUGUUGUCAUAGGUUACCAAAUGCCACUCAUGGUUGCCUAAAUAAAAGAAACUGAUUUAGACUAUAUAA
Long non-coding RNA from Ictalurus furcatus (blue catfish), 1800 nucleotides. RefSeq lists it as uncharacterized. The record is from RefSeq and is a predicted model, not a curated record. Lineage: Eukaryota; Metazoa; Chordata; Actinopteri; Siluriformes; Ictaluridae. The transcript is spliced from 2 exons.